This 368-nucleotide ribosomal RNA is filed under the name uncultured Polaromonas sp. Its description in RNAcentral is "bacterial SSU rRNA". It matches the Rfam family "Bacterial small subunit ribosomal RNA", at positions 39 to 413 of the family's 1533-position model. The record is from RNAcentral. Lineage: Bacteria; Pseudomonadati; Pseudomonadota; Betaproteobacteria; Burkholderiales; Comamonadaceae.
GCGGCAUGCCUUACACAUGCAAGUCGAACGGUAGAGUAGUAAUACUCGAGAGUGGCGAACGGGUGAGUAAUAUAUCGGAACGUGCCCAGUCGUGGGGGAUAACGUAGAGAAAUUUACGCUAAUACCGCAUACGAUCUACGGAUGAAAGCGGGGGACUCGCAAGAGCCUCGCGCGAUUGGAGCGGCUGAUAUCAGAUUAGGUUGUUGGUGAGGUAAAAGCUCACCAAGCCGACGAUCUGUAGCUGGUUUGAGAGAACGACCAGCCACACUGCGACUGAGACACGGCCCAGACUCCUACGGGAGGCAGCAGUGGGGAAUUUUGGACAAUGGGCGAAAGCCUGAUCCUGCACUGCCGCGUGUGGGAGGAAG